Molecule: ribosomal RNA, 253 nt
Filed under: uncultured bacterium
Lineage: Bacteria
Description: partial 16S ribosomal RNA
Rfam family: Bacterial small subunit ribosomal RNA
Source: RNAcentral
UACGUAGGUGGCAAGCGUUAUCCGGAUUUACUGGGUGUAAAGGGCGUGUAGGCGGGAAAGCAAGUCAGAUGUGAAAACCACGGGCUCAACCUGUGGCCUGCAUUUGAAACUGUUUUUCUUGGGUACUGGAGAGGCAGACGGAAUUCCUCGUGUAGCGGUGAAAUGCGUAGAUAUGAGGAGGAACACCAGUGGCGAAGGCGGUCUGCUGGACAGCAACUGACGCUGAGGCGCGAAAGCGUGGGGAGCAAACAGG